This 1075-nucleotide unclassified non-coding RNA is filed under the name Hevea brasiliensis (rubber tree). Lineage: Eukaryota; Viridiplantae; Streptophyta; Magnoliopsida; Malpighiales; Euphorbiaceae. The record is from RNAcentral.
GUUCUUAAAAUCUCCCAUACACCAAGAGUUUUAUCAUGGAUGGUAAAUGUCAUUAGUGAUGGUUUGGAUGCAGUCUUCCUCAACAGAUUUGAAUCAUUGCGAGCUGAGUAUUGGCAGACUUUGUACUCUUCUGUUAGCAUGGGGGCCCCAUAUCUUAUUUUGUGUUCAGAGAGUGAUGAGCUUGCUUCAUAUCAAGUUAUUUGCAAUUUCACUCAAAGACUUCAAGAACUUGGGGGUGACGUAAAACUUGUGACGAUGAGUGGCUCUCCUCAUGUAGGUCACUAUCGGGUUUAUCCAAUUGAUUAUAAGGCUGCAGUGACUGAGCUCCUUGGCAAGGCAGCUGCAGUAUAUUCCCAAAGAACUCAACGACUUGGAGGAGAAAGAUUGGUUGUAGAAGGUACGCAUGAUGAGGUCUCUGAACCAAUUGGUGACCUGCGGAAAGCAGUUGCCAGUCCAAACAAAAGCUUCUUGGGAGUUUCUAUCCAACCGAGUGACCAUUUCUGCAUGCCCAGUUCAGUGGGUUAUUAUGAGGGUAGAGAUGUUGGUUCUUUGCAAGACGAACAUAAGGAAGGCGUGAUUCAUUUGCAUAGCCCACCAAGUAUUAAUGCUCAUGGAGUUCUUGGUCAAAUCCUUUUUGAUGUGUGCGUUCCAAAGAACGUUGAAGAUUGGGAUAUAAGGUCAUCAACAUCCUUGAGUGGUCGACAAUAUACUUCUACUCGGAGGCAUGCUCCAUUUAAUCCGAUCAAAUGUAUACGUCGUUCAAGAUUGUAAAAUCUCUCAAUGCUAUCUUAUGAAGGCUGAUAAGUAUGUGAAUAUGCGGGAUUUGUACCUGAUUUGAAGACUUGGCUUGGAAGAUAAAGAGGAAGUAACUUGUUGAAAGCUAACAUGAAAUUCCUAUAAUAAUAAAUGUGGUAGACAAAGGAACUUGAGAUAUGAAAUUUGUAAUAAUUGAUGUUUUGUGGGACAAUAAGGGUAUCGUCGCCUGCCACUACUCUGGCUGGUGUCCCCUCUUCGAACGAAAUGUAUAGUGCUGUCAAAGUUUUUGCUUGAUAUAAAGUAUGCUAAAGAUCCAUUG